Molecule: RNA transcript, 2898 nt
Organism: Hevea brasiliensis (rubber tree)
Lineage: Eukaryota; Viridiplantae; Streptophyta; Magnoliopsida; Malpighiales; Euphorbiaceae
Gene name: pentatricopeptide repeat-containing protein At5g16640, mitochondrial-like
Exons: 6
Source: RefSeq, a predicted model, not a curated record
UGAUGUAAUAGUAGCUUAAUUUGUUUUUCUAUUUUAUGUGUUUAGCCAUUUGUGUCCUGCAUAUUGACAUUUUUUUUUAUGAGUAGGUUGGAAAUGCCAAGCUUUUUAUUGUUAUUGUGCUGAAUUUGCUCACAUGUUAUUUUUCUUGGCAGGGCCUGUGAACAUAUUGUUCUUCUUCAUUAUAGAGACAUCAUGAGCUUGGGCCUGUGAACAUAUUGUUCUUCUUCAUUAUAGAGACAUCAUCAGCUUGGUAAAUUUCUAUUGACCUGAUUCCUAAUCUCAAAGUAACAAAUCUCAUAAUCAUGAUAGUAACUGAUUUAUGUUUUUUCAGGAAAAAGUGCCUCCUAUAUCUCCUGGCCGGUUAUCACCUGUGUCUAUUAUGUUCUAUGGCCUUCUAGCACUUCCCUUCUUGUGCAGGAUCUAGCUCUUCUGGUCCAGAGCCGUCUCCCUUUCUCUGAAGAUGAUAAUGUCGGCGCGGAGGAUUUUCACAACUACUGAGAGGUUCUUCCACUUUCAACUGCAAACGGAAAUGGGUAUCAUUCAAUCUCCAUCCUUAUUAUUUACCAAUUACUUCCAUUCUUCUGCUUCCACGCAUAAUCCUAAAGAUGCAAAAUCUCAACGUUUCUUGAGAUCUAAGUUCAAUUCUUCUUCUUUUAGGGACGUUGAUGAUGCCUUAGCUUUCUUUAAUCAUAUCAUUCUUUUGCGUCCUCUGCCUUCUAUUGUUCAAUUUUGUCGAUUUUUAUCUGCUCUUGUGGGAAUGAAACAAUAUCACACGGUUAUUUCUUUGUCCAGAACAAUUGAGUCUCUGGGAAUCUCACACGAUAUUUACUCUCUUUCUAUAUUGAUUAACUGUUUCUGCCGCUUACACCUUGUGAAUUUUGGCUUCUCAAUUCUGGGGAAAAUUAUCAAAUUUGGAUUGGAGCCCAAUACUGUGACAUUUACUACCUUAAUUAAAGGGCUCUGUAUAGAUGGUAAAAUCAAUGGAGCAGUAGAUUUUUUCAAUGAUAUGGUUGCUGGAGGUUAUCAACCUGAUGUUCAUACUUACACUGUGAUCAUAAAUGCUCUUUGUAAAUGUGGGAAAACAAAUGUGGCUAUUGAGUUGCUAAAGGGAAUGGUUGAGAGAGGUUGUGAGCCAAAUGUUGUCACUUACAACUGCUUAAUUCAAGGUCUUUGCAAUUUAGGCAAAUGGAAUCAAGCUUUGGCCUUGUUGAAAGAAAUGGCGGGGCAAAACAUAUCACCAGACGUUUUUACCUUCAAUAUAUUGAUUGACAAUCUUUGCAAGGAAGGACUGGUUUCAAAAGCUCAAGAAAUAAUGAAAAUAAUGAUCCAACAAGGGGUGAAGCCUGAUGUUUUCACUUACAGUUCUUUGAUGGACGGAUUUUGUCUGUGUAACCAAAUGGAUGAAGCGACAAAAUUAUUUGAUCAUAUGGUAAGCAGUGGCAUAGCUAAUGUCUUUAGCUACAACAUCUUGAUUAAUGGAUACUGCAAGAGCAAAAGGAUAGAUGAAGCAACAAAACUUUUGGACGAAAUGAUUAAAACUAGUUUAGUUCCCAACUUUGUUACUUAUACUACUCUUAUAAAGGGAUUGUGGGAAGCUGGGCGACCUGAAAAUGCACUUGAGGUUUUCAAGAGCAUGUGUUCUUAUGGUCAACAACCAAAUGUAAUAACUUUCUCAACUAUUCUCAAUGGCUUGUGCAAACAGGGGAAUCUUGAUGAGGCACUCACACUAUUUAAAGCAAUGGAAAAAAGUCGGUUGAAGGUUAAUUGUGUGAGCUAUAACAUUUUGAUUAAUGGUAUGUGUAGAGCUGGGAGGCUUACUGAUGCCAAGGAAUUGUUUUCUAGGCUUUUUGAAAAAGGUUUACAACCUGAUGUUUAUACAUAUAGUAUAAUAAUAAAAGGACUUUGCAAUGAAGGUUUACUAGAUGAAGCAUACAAAGUCUUUAGAGGAAUGGAAGAGUGUGGAUGUUUACCGAAUGGUUGCUGUUAUAAUGUGAUUAUUCAAGGGUUUCUCAGGCAUAAAGAUAUACCAGAGGCAACACUACUUAUUGAUGAAAUGGUUGAUAAAGGAUUCUCUGCAGAUGCCACCACCUUUGAAUUGGUAAUACAUUUAUUGCGCAAUGACGAUCUCAUUCUGACAAAACUACGAAAUCGUUCCAAAUGUUCUAAAGGUGCAAAUUUUAAGUGAUAUUUUAACAAUCAAGACUUGCUCAACAGAUGGACGAGGGCCUGUGAACAUAUUGUUCUUCUUCAUUAUAGAGACAUCAUGAGCUUGGUAAAAGAGUUUCCUAUUCUGUUCUGUGGCCUCCUAGCUCUUGUGCAGUAUCUAGCUGUUCUGCUCCAGGUGCAAGUCCUUGUUCUACCAUUCAAGAUCAAGGAACUGCCUUUGAUUUUACAUCUGAUGAUGGUAUAAAUUUUUGAAAAGUCUGGGCCACUUGGGGUGGAAGAGGAUUUAAGGGGCUAAUGGUCAGCAAGAGAAGCGUAGUUUUCUUGGCGUCUGAAUUUGAGAGCUGAAUAUGUUUAGGCAUCCUGAAAUAGGAAGCACUGAUGGAAAAUCUGAAAGCUCUUCUGUUGAUGGCUCUCUUCUCGGACUGGCCGUUCCUGGCAUGGAAGCUAAUGAAUGCACGAAAUGACCUGAUCUUUAAUGAUAAACAAUGGAACACCAGAAGUAUGAAUUAAUCAGUACUCUGAAGCAGAGAAUUGCUUCACCAAUCCAUGAUUAAUGCAGUAAUCUCUAGUAUUAAGAUAAUUCCAAUCUGGACUCACUAGCUGUUGGUUUCAUUAUGAUAAACUUUGAAAUUCUUACUGUUAGAAGAAGUUGCUAAUAUGCUUAUGAGUCUGUCAUCAAAGAUCUGUUGUUUUUGUCAAUAGAGAAGGAAAUUGGCCAGUUCACAUUUCAAA